Molecule: ribosomal RNA, 465 nt
Filed under: uncultured bacterium
Lineage: Bacteria
Description: bacterial SSU rRNA
Rfam family: Bacterial small subunit ribosomal RNA
Source: RNAcentral
CCUACGGGGGGCUGCAGUAGGGAAUCUUCCGCAAUGGACGAAAGUCUGACGGAGCAACGCCGCGUGAGUGAUGAAGGCCUUCGGGUCGUAAAGCUCUGUUGUCAGGGAAGAACAAGUGCGGGAGUAACUGCCCGCACCUUGACGGUACCUGACCAGAAAGCCACGGCUAACUACGUGCCAGCAGCCGCGGUAAUACGUAGGUGGCAAGCGUUGUCCGGAAUUAUUGGGCGUAAAGCGCGCGCAGGCGGUCCCUUAAGUCUGAUGUGAAAGCCCCCGGCUUAACCGGGGAGGGUCAUUGGAAAUUGUCUAGCUUGAGUCAAGGAGAGGAAAGUGGAAUUCCUGGUGUAGCGGUGAAAUGCGUAGAUAUCAGGAGGAAUACCAGUGGCGAAGGCGACUUUCUGGACUUAGACUGACGCUGAGGUACGAAAGCGUGGGGAGCAAACAGGAUUAGAUACCCUGGUAGUC